RNAcentral lists this ribosomal RNA (478 nucleotides) under uncultured bacterium. RNAcentral's name for it is "partial 16S ribosomal RNA". It matches the Rfam family "Bacterial small subunit ribosomal RNA", at positions 30 to 507 of the family's 1533-position model. The record is from RNAcentral.
UGAACGCUAGCGGCAGGCCUAACACAUGCAAGUCGAGGGGGAAGUUACUUUCGGGUGACUGAGACCGGCGUACGGGUGCGUAACGCGUAUACAAUCUGCCUUUCACUGGGGGAUAGCCCGAAGAAAUUUGGAUUAAUACCCCAUAGUAUAUAGGGACGGCAUCGUUUUUAUAUUAAAGCUUAGGUGGUGAAAGAUGAGUAUGCGUUCUAUUAGCUAGUUGGAGAGGUAACGGCUCCCCAAGGCGAUGAUAGAUAGGGGUUCUGAGAGGGAUGUCCCCCACACUGGUACUGAGAUACGGACCAGACUCCUACGGGAGGCAGCAGUGAGGAAUAUUGGACAAUGGUCGGAAGACUGAUCCAGCCAUGCCGCGUGCAGGAUGAAGGUCUUAUGGAUUGUAAACUGCUUUUGUAAGGGAAGAAUAAGGGCUACGCGUAGUUUGAUGACGGUACCUUACGAAUAAGCAUCGGCUAACUCCGUG